UUUUUACAGGACUUAUUUAGGACAUAGGCAUGCACUCAGGUUUUGCACAGAUUGUUAAAGAAGUAUUGGCCAGAAUUUUUAAGUGUAAUGAUGAACAGAUAUCCAGUGAAGAAAAGAGAUGAGAGCGGAUCAAGAAUAAGAAAGUACAAUUUCAUCUUCUAGCACAGUAAUAUGUUAGAAAAGCUCAGAAGGCUAUGAUUUAUGUGCUCUUGAAAGCAUGCUUAUUAACAUUUCACCUGACAAGUACUUCCAUGAGCCACACAGCUAAAACUAUUUAAAUCAGCAUGAUUCAAGGCUGCUGUUGAAAGCGGCACCUGAUUUUCAGAUCCACGCACUUGUUUCAUAGUCUGUGCUAGCACUGUUAUGGAAGUGGCUGUGCAGUGAACUGGAUGAGUGAGCUGUUCUGGCUGCUAAAAAAAUCACAUUUUGGUGAAUUUGUUUUCCAGCAUGCUUGGGCAGCACAAGGAGAGGAUAGGUCAAAGUACAUCAGUAAAAACUUGUCAUGAAGCCAAACCUAACCCAGCACACUGGAGAAAAAAGAUUAUUUUUUAGCAGGAUUAGUUUCCUGAUGUAAUUUACAGCUGAGGUACAUGAGUGAUUGAAUUGGCACAGGCAGUAUGAGCAGUUGGGAUCAAGAAUGACAGAACUAACCACGUUAAACUGGAAGAUAUCCAGAUUUAGUCUAGAUAUUAGGAAGAAAUUCUUUACUGUGAGAAUGGUGAGACACUGGAACAGGUUGCCCAGGGAGGUUGUGCAUUCCUCCUCCCUGGAGGCAUUCAAGGCCAGGCUGGAUGGGACUUUAAGCAACCUGGUCUAGUGGGAGAUGUCCCUGCCUAUAGCAGGGGGGUUGGAACUAGGUGAUCUUAUAGGUCCUUCCAACACAAACCAUUCUAUGAUUCUAUGAUUCUAUGAUAAUUCAAAGCCUUAACUUUGCCUUGGCAACAGUGAGAGAGUGGAGGCUUUGCCCAGACCUUGGUGCAGUUUCACAUCAUGCAGAUACCCCAGAGAAGGAAACUCCACAACCACUCUGGGCAGCCUGUUCCAGUGCUCUGCCACCUUCACAGUGCUGUCAGUUGGAACUGGGAGGUAGUUUUGCCUCGCAGCUGAGAAAUCGGGGCGAUGCCCUUGUCAUGUUCAGUAUAAGCAGGUGAGUUUAAGUCAUUUUCAGAACUGAGUAUUCAGGCAAAAACUUCUCACACAGGCAGUGAAGCUGAGACAUGACCUAAUAAGCAGUCACCAAUUGCCUCUGAGAUAUGUUGAUGACAAGAGAGAAUCUGGUCUCCAUGAUUCCGUUAGAAUUCCAGGACUGAUAUUCUUCAUUUCUUUAUCUUCCUAAAACUGAAUGUAAAAUAGUAGGUGCUUUAGGCAAAACAAGCAGAGAAAACAAAUGUGUUUUGUUGUUGUUGUUGCCUUUUCCAUUUCGAUUCAAUCAUUAAAUUGUCCUGAUUAAAUUGGCAUAAAUGCUGCCAUGCUUGUAAGAGGAGUCUUGCAUGAAGUUAGCAACUUUAUCUUCUCUUGGGAUGCUGUGCAGUAAGUGCUUCAGAGAUUUUAGAUAAAACAGGAUUAUCCACUAGAGUCCAGUGCUAU
This 1587-nucleotide long non-coding RNA is filed under the name Numida meleagris (helmeted guineafowl). RNAcentral's name for it is "lncRNA (ENSNMEG00000007088.1)". The record is from RNAcentral. Lineage: Eukaryota; Metazoa; Chordata; Aves; Galliformes; Numididae.